Molecule: ribosomal RNA, 654 nt
Filed under: Serratia ureilytica
Lineage: Bacteria; Pseudomonadati; Pseudomonadota; Gammaproteobacteria; Enterobacterales; Yersiniaceae
Description: partial 23S ribosomal RNA
Rfam family: Bacterial large subunit ribosomal RNA
Source: RNAcentral
GGGCGGUCUCCUCCCAAAGAGUAACGGAGGAGCACGAAGGUUAGCUAAUCACGGUCGGACAUCGUGAGGUUAGUGCAAAGGCAUAAGCUAGCUUGACUGCGAGAGUGACGGCUCGAGCAGGUACGAAAGUAGGUCUUAGUGAUCCGGUGGUUCUGAAUGGAAGGGCCAUCGCUCAACGGAUAAAAGGUACUCCGGGGAUAACAGGCUGAUACCGCCCAAGAGUUCAUAUCGACGGCGGUGUUUGGCACCUCGAUGUCGGCUCAUCACAUCCUGGGGCUGAAGUAGGUCCCAAGGGUAUGGCUGUUCGCCAUUUAAAGUGGUACGCGAGCUGGGUUUAGAACGUCGUGAGACAGUUCGGUCCCUAUCUGCCGUGGGCGUUGGAAGAUUGAGAGGGGUUGCUCCUAGUACGAGAGGACCGGAGUGAACGCACCACUGGUGUUCGGGUUGUCAUGCCAAUGGCAUUGCCCGGUAGCUAAGUGCGGAAAAGAUAAGCGCUGAAAGCAUCUAAGCGCGAAACUUGCCUCAAGAUGAGUCUUCCCUGGGCCUUCAAGGCCCCUGAAGGAACGUUUAAGACUAAGACGUUGAUAGGCUGGGUGUGUAAGUGCAGCGAUGCAUUGAGCUAACCAGUACUAAUGAUCCGUGAGGCUUAACCUU